This 1351-nucleotide ribosomal RNA is filed under the name uncultured bacterium. RNAcentral's name for it is "bacterial SSU rRNA". It matches the Rfam family "Bacterial small subunit ribosomal RNA", at positions 18 to 1390 of the family's 1533-position model. The record is from RNAcentral.
CCUGGCUCAGGACGAACGCUGGCGGCGCGCCUAACACAUGCAAGUCGAACGAGCGAGAGAGAGCUUGCUUUCUCAAGCGAGUGGCGAACGGGUGAGUAACGCGUGAGGAACCUGCCUCAAAGAGGGGGACAACAGUUGGAAACGACUGCUAAUACCGCAUAAGCCCACGGUGCCGCAUGGCACAGGGGGAAAAGGAACAAUCCGCUUUGAGAUGGCCUCGCGUCCGAUUAGCUAGUUGGUGAGGUAAUGGCCCACCAAGGCGACGAUCGGUAGCCGGACUGAGAGGUUGAACGGCCACAUUGGGACUGAGACACGGCCCAGACUCCUACGGGAGGCAGCAGUGGGGAAUAUUGCACAAUGGGGGAAACCCUGAUGCAGCGACGCCGCGUGGAGGAAGAAGGUCUUCGGAUUGUAAACUCCUGUUGUUGAGGAAGAUAAUGACGGUACUCAACAAGGAAGUGACGGCUAACUACGUGCCAGCAGCCGCGGUAAAACGUAGGUCACAAGCGUUGUCCGGAAUUACUGGGUGUAAAGGGAGCGCAGGCGGGAAGACAAGUUGGAAGUGAAAUCUAUGGGCUCAACCCAUAAACUGCUUUCAAAACUGUUUUUCUUGAGUAGUGCAGAGGUAGGCGGAAUUCCCGGUGUAGCGGUGGAAUGCGUAGAUAUCGGGAGGAACACCAGUGGCGAAGGCGGCCUACUGGGCACCAACUGACGCUGAGGCUCGAAAGUGUGGGUAGCAAACAGGAUUAGAUACCCUGGUAGUCCACACCGUAAACGAUGAUUACUAGGUGUUGGAGGAUUGACCCCUUCAGUGCCGCAGUUAACACAAUAAGUAAUCCACCUGGGGAGUACGACCGCAAGGUUGAAACUCAAAGGAAUUGACGGGGGCCCGCACAAGCAGUGGAGUAUGUGGUUUAAUUCGACGCAACGCGAAGAACCUUACCAAGUCUUGACAUCCCUUGACGAACAUAGAAAUAUGUUUUCUCUUCGGAGCAAGGAGACAGGUGGUGCAUGGUUGUCGUCAGCUCGUGUCGUGAGAUGUUGGGUUAAGUCCCGCAACGAGCGCAACCCUUAUGGUCAGUUACUACGCAAGAGGACUCUGGCCAGACUGCCGUUGACAAAACGGAGGAAGGUGGGGAUGACGUCAAAUCAUCAUGCCCUUUAUGACUUGGGCUACACACGUACUACAAUGGCGUUAAACAAAGAGAAGCAAGACCGCGAGGUGGAGCAAAACUCAGAAACAACGUCCCAGUUCGGACUGCAGGCUGCAACUCGCCUGCACGAAGUCGGAAUUGCUAGUAAUCGCAGAUCAGCAUGCUGCGGUGAAUACGUUCCCGGGCCUUGUACACAC